AGUAAAGAAAGCAGCUUGCCAACUUGUUCAUCCAAUUGCUCUAAAUAAUCUCUUUCCAGGAAUCAAGUGAUUCAAGAGGCAGGGACUGUUGCUUCUUCAUUUCACUGUCUAAAGGAACCAUAUGUUACCAUUCUUAUUCAGAGGGGAACACUCCUGAGGAUCUUGAUUAAAGGCAACUCAUGCCACCAACGGUAUUUCUAUGAUCUACCUACUAUGGAGCUGAAAAGUAAAGAUGGAAAUAAGCCUAUCUACAAACAGGAUGCUCUCUAUCAAGAGUCAUGAGAAUUGUCUUCAGAGGGUGCUGAAGAGACAUCAACCUGUCUUCUUUGAGACUCCUAGUGUUGGUGUGGAAGAUGCUACUGGAGACAACAGGUUCCUCCAGGCCUGAUUGCUUGGUCAAUUGUGAUCCUUCCAUCAUCACCAUCUCAAUCCAGCAAGCAUUUCUGUGAUGUACCACCAUGCCACUCUCGCCACUGUCUGGGAGACACCUGAUUGCUAGAUGCCU
RNAcentral lists this long non-coding RNA (505 nucleotides) under Homo sapiens (human). RNAcentral describes it as "HSALNT0320406". Lineage: Eukaryota; Metazoa; Chordata; Mammalia; Primates; Hominidae. The record is from RNAcentral.